UACGGGGGGGGUAAGCGUUGUUCGGAAUUACUGGGCGUAAAGGGCGCGUAGGCGGCCUUCUAAGUCGAACGUGAAAUCCCCGGGCUCAACCCGGGAACUGCGUCCGAUACUGGAAGGCUUGAAUCCGGGAGAGGGAUGUGGAAUUCCAGGUGUAGCGGUGAAAUGCGUAGAUAUCUGGAGGAACACCGGUGGCGAAGGCGACAUCCUGGACCGGUAUUGACGCUGAGGCGCGAAAGCCAGGGGAGCAAACGGG
RNAcentral lists this ribosomal RNA (253 nucleotides) under uncultured bacterium. Its description in RNAcentral is "partial 16S ribosomal RNA". It matches the Rfam family "Bacterial small subunit ribosomal RNA", at positions 524 to 776 of the family's 1533-position model. The record is from RNAcentral.